CCCUAAUACAUGCAAGUCGAACGAACUCUGGUAUUGAUUGGUGCUUGCAUCAUGAUUUACAUUUGAGUGAGUGGCGAACUGGUGAGUAACACGUGGGAAACCUGCCCAGAAGCGGGGGAUAACACCUGGAAACAGAUGCUAAUACCGCAUAACAACUUGGACCGCAUGGUCCGAGUUUGAAAGAUGGCUUCGGCUAUCACUUUUGGAUGGUCCCGCGGCGUAUUAGCUAGAUGGUGGGGUAACGGCUCACCAUGGCAAUGAUACGUAGCCGACCUGAGAGGGUAAUCGGCCACAUUGGGACUGAGACACGGCCCAAACUCCUACGGGAGGCAGCAGUAGGGAAUCUUCCACAAUGGACGAAAGUCUGAUGGAGCAACGCCGCGUGAGUGAAGAAGGGUUUCGGCUCGUAAAACUCUGUUGUUAAAGAAGAACAUAUCUGAGAGUAACUGUUCAGGUAUUGACGGUAUUUAACCAGAAAGCCACGGCUAACUACGUGCCAGCAGCCGCGGUAAUACGUAGGUGGCAAGCGUUGUCCGGAUUUAUUGGGCGUAAAGCGAGCGCAGGCGGUUUUUUAAGUCUGAUGUGAAAGCCUUCGGCUCAACCGAAGAAGUGCAUCGGAAACUGGGAAACUUGAGUGCAGAAGAGGACAGUGGAACUCCAUGUGUAGCGGUGAAAUGCGUAGAUAUAUGGAAGAACACCAGUGGCGAAGGCGGCUGUCUGGUCUGUAACUGACGCUGAGGCUCGAAAGUAUGGGUAGCAAACAGGAUUAGAUACCCUGGUAGUCCAUACCGUAAACGAUGAAUGCUAAGUGUUGGAGGGUUUCCGCCCUUCAGUGCUGCAGCUAACGCAUUAAGCAUUCCGCCUGGGGAGUACGGCCGCAAGGCUGAAACUCAAAGGAAUUGACGGGGGCCCGCACAAGCGGUGGAGCAUGUGGUUUAAUUCGAAGCUACGCGAAGAACCUUACCAGGUCUUGACAUACUAUGCAAAUCUAAGAGAUUAGACGUUCCCUUCGGGGACAUGGAUACAGGUGGUGCAUGGUUGUCGUCAGCUCGUGUCGUGAGAUGUUGGGUUAAGUCCCGCAACGAGCGCAACCCUUAUUAUCAGUUGCCAGCAUUAAGUUGGGCACUCUGGUGAGACUGCCGGUGACAAACCGGAGGAAGGUGGGGAUGACGUCAAAUCAUCAUGCCCCUUAUGACCUGGGCUACACACGUGCUACAAUGGAUGGUACAACGAGUUGCGAACUCGCGAGAGUAAGCUAAUCUCUUAAAGCCAUUCUCAGUUCGGAUUGUAGGCUGCAACUCGCCUACAUGAAGUCGGAAUCGCUAGUAAUCGCGGAUCAGCAUGCCGCGGUGAAUACGUUCCCGGGCCUUGUACACACCGCCCGUCACACCAUGAGAGUUUGUAACACCCAAAGUCGGUGGGGUAACCUUUUAGGAACCAGCCGCCU
RNAcentral lists this ribosomal RNA (1447 nucleotides) under Lactiplantibacillus plantarum. RNAcentral's name for it is "bacterial SSU rRNA". It matches the Rfam family "Bacterial small subunit ribosomal RNA". Lineage: Bacteria; Bacillati; Bacillota; Bacilli; Lactobacillales; Lactobacillaceae. The record is from RNAcentral.